CUUGUCCUUGUGGAUAAAUCAUAAAUGAUUGUUAUUCUGAUUUAAUUGUUAUUACAGUUACAAGACACCACAAUUAGUUAACUAUUAAUUGUCCUUGUUGGCAGAGGGAUGCUUGAAUCCCUUUGUUUGAUACGUUUUGCCGUCAUGCAUAAUGCAGCGAUACUUAUCCCUUGUAAUUGUAACACAGUAACAGUAAUAAUAAAACACUUGAGUUACUGCAACUGAGGAUGGACUACCUUGGCGUCUUGUGUCCUUACUCCUUCGAAACCUAUAACCCUGGAAGCCUAUAUCUUGUACUCUGGAGGCCAGGCUUAGCCAGCGCUUAUUUCGAGAUCGCCCUAAAAACUCCUCAUUGUCAGUCGCAGUCGCAGAUCUUCGUGGGUUCCCAAGUGCUGCAGCAACGGUGUUUACGGCGUACCCUGUGAUGCUAGGGGAAAUCAAGGCCAAAGGGAACCUCAACGCUCAAAUCAUUCACCAGUAGUGGGACGUAUGCGUUCAAGGCUCAUCGCUGACGCUCAGUGCGACGGAGAGAAGCUGUGGAUCUGUAAGUGAGCAACGACUACCGCGCCCGCGGACGUAACGGCCUCGUAGACGCUGGUCUAGUUGGACAUUUAGAGCGCUUGCAUCGGACAACGCCGUCGGCGCCGAGCCCACUCACUAGAAGGGCAUACUCUUCCGGUUCUCCGACGGCCAGAUUCUUUCUCUCAAAAGCAGAUACACCGGCAGUGACUUUCAUGUGGCGACCUAGCCUACAGAGUACAGAGCGUGUCCAGCGUCGGCUACGCCGUCAAGAUUCCCAAAACCAUCGCGGUCAUCCGCGGUGCGCACGGAGUGAGUGUCAGGUGCAUUAAUUGUAUUCCCAUUUGGCCGUUUGAUAAAGUCUAUCUCCACCCAGAGCCGGCAUCCGCUUAUUAAACACAUAUCUUCCGAAUGGAUAUUGGACACUCAAGCCUCGAUUUUUAAUUAAAUGAACUCUUGUUUAUUAACGACAUGUCUGGUUUAGCUUUGAAAACUUAAAUAAGGUAAUUAUCCUUUUGUUUAGUCAUGGAGUAUGGUGGUGUUUGUUGGUUUUAUAAAUUUUAUUUAAUUUUAAACUGAAUGGAAAUUUUGUUGGCGCAAGGCUCAAUGGUAUUGUCCUUAUUACGGUAUUUGGUGAAUCUUAAUAAAAACAGUAC
Paramacrobiotus metropolitanus is the source of this 1175-nucleotide long non-coding RNA. RefSeq lists it as uncharacterized. Lineage: Eukaryota; Metazoa; Tardigrada; Eutardigrada; Parachela; Macrobiotidae. The transcript is spliced from 5 exons. The record is from RefSeq and is a predicted model, not a curated record.